GCCAGCGUGGUGUAGUAGUUCGAGUGCUGAACUACAACUCUGGAGACCAGGGUUCAAAUCCCUGCUUGACC
Phrynosoma platyrhinos (Desert horned lizard) is the source of this 71-nucleotide non-coding RNA. The record is from the annotation of a GenBank genome assembly. Lineage: Eukaryota; Metazoa; Chordata; Lepidosauria; Squamata; Phrynosomatidae.